UGCGGAUAUAGCUUAACGGUAGAGUAGUAGUUUGUGGUACUAUUGGUUGUGGGUUCAAAUCUCACUAUCCGCC
This 73-nucleotide transfer RNA is filed under the name Stachyamoeba lipophora. Its description in RNAcentral is "tRNA-His". It matches the Rfam family "tRNA". Rfam says of the family: Transfer RNA (tRNA) molecules are approximately 80 nucleotides in length. Their secondary structure includes four short double-helical elements and three loops (D, anti-codon, and T loops). Lineage: Eukaryota; Heterolobosea; Gruberellidae. The record is from RNAcentral.